This 337-nucleotide ribosomal RNA is filed under the name uncultured bacterium. RNAcentral describes it as "bacterial SSU rRNA". It matches the Rfam family "Bacterial small subunit ribosomal RNA", at positions 8 to 334 of the family's 1533-position model. The record is from RNAcentral.
AGGGUUUGAUCCUGGCUCAGGAUGAACGCUAGCUACAGGCUUAACACAUGCAAGUCGAGGGGAAACGACAUCGAAAGCUUGCUUUUGAUGGGCGUCGACCGGCGCACGGGUGAGUAACGCGUAUCCAACCUGCCCACCACUUGGGGAUAACCUUGCGAAAGUAAGACUAAUACCCGAUGAUAUCUCUAGACGACAUCUGAAAGGGAUUAAAGAUUUAUCGGUGAUGGAUGGGGAUGCGUCUGAUUAGCUUGUUGGCGGGGUAACGGCCCACCAAGGCAACGAUCAGUAGGGGUUCUGAGAGGAAGGUCCCCCACAUUGGAACUGAGACACGGUCCAA